This 476-nucleotide ribosomal RNA is filed under the name uncultured bacterium. RNAcentral describes it as "bacterial SSU rRNA". It matches the Rfam family "Bacterial small subunit ribosomal RNA", at positions 365 to 832 of the family's 1533-position model. The record is from RNAcentral.
UUCGCAAUGCCCGAAAGGGUGACGAAGCGACGCCGCGUGUGGGAAGAAGGCCUUCGGGUUGUAAACCACUGUCGGGAGUUAGGAAGUGCAGGAGCGUUAAUAGCGUUCUUGCUUGACUAAGGCUCCAGAGGAAGCCACGGCUAACUCUGUGCCAGCAGCCGCGGUAAUACAGAGGCGGCAAGCGUUGUUCGGAAUUAUUGGGCGUAAAGAGCACGUAGGCGGCCUUGCAAGUCAGUUGUGAAAGCCUUCCGCUCAACGGAAGAAUGCCAGCUGAUACUACAGGGCUUGAGUACGGGAGGGGAGAGUGGAACUUCUGGUGGAGCGGUGAAAUGCGUAGAUAUCAGGAGGAACACCGGUGGCGAAAGCGACUCUCUGGCCCACACCUGACACUGAGGCGCGAAAGCUAGGGGAGCAAACAGGAUUAGAUACCCUGGUAGUCCUAGCUGUAAACGAUGGGCACUAAGUAGAGGGGUUUU